GACGAACGCUGGCGGCGUGCUUAACACAUGCAAGUCGAACGGAAAGGCCCUGCUUUUGUGGGGUGCUCGAGUGGCGAACGGGUGAGUAACACGUGAGUAACCUGCCCUUGACUUUGGGAUAACUUCAGGAAACUGGGGCUACUACCGGAUAGGAGCUCCUGCUGCAUGGUGGGGGUUGGAAAGUUUCGGCGGUUGGGGAUGGACUCGCGGCUUAUCAGCUUGUUGGUGGGGUAGUGGCUUACCAAGGCUUUGACGGGUAGCCGGCCUGAGAGGGUGACCGGCCACAUUGGGACUGAGAUACGGCCCAGACUCCUACGGGAGGCAGCAGUGGGGAAUAUUGCACAAUGGGCGGAAGCCUGAUGCAGCAACGCCGCGUGCGGGAUGACGGCCUUCGGGUGGUAAACCGCUUUCGCCUGUGACGAAGCGUGAGUGACGGUAAUGGGUAAAGAAGCACCGGCUAACUACGUG
Molecule: ribosomal RNA, 468 nt
Filed under: uncultured bacterium
Lineage: Bacteria
Description: partial 16S ribosomal RNA
Rfam family: Bacterial small subunit ribosomal RNA
Source: RNAcentral